CUACAGGAUUUUUUAAGAUCCACCCAUUUCAAACAGUGCUAUCUUU
This is a non-coding RNA of Corvus brachyrhynchos (American crow), 46 nucleotides long. Lineage: Eukaryota; Metazoa; Chordata; Aves; Passeriformes; Corvidae. The record is from Rfam.